UACAGGGGGUGCAAACGUUGCUCGGAAUCAUUGGGCGUAAAGCGCACGUAGGCGGUCUGUUAUGUCGGAUGUGAAAGCCCUUGGCUUAACUGAGGAAGUGCAUCCGAAACUGGCAGGCUAGAGUACUAAAGAGGGUCGCGGAAUUCCCGGUGUAGAGGUGAAAUUCGUAGAUAUCGGGAGGAACACCGGUGGCGAAGGCGGCCAGCUAGACCAGUUCUGACACUGAGGCGCGACAGCGUGGGGAGCAAACAGG
This 253-nucleotide ribosomal RNA is filed under the name uncultured bacterium. Its description in RNAcentral is "partial 16S ribosomal RNA". It matches the Rfam family "Bacterial small subunit ribosomal RNA", at positions 524 to 776 of the family's 1533-position model. The record is from RNAcentral.